Molecule: ribosomal RNA, 477 nt
Filed under: Healyella jordanis
Lineage: Eukaryota; Metazoa; Annelida; Clitellata; Crassiclitellata; Lumbricidae
Description: partial 16S ribosomal RNA
Rfam family: Bacterial large subunit ribosomal RNA
Source: RNAcentral
CCUGCCCAGUGACUCAAUAGUUCAACGGCCGCGGUAUCCUAACCGUGCAAAGGUAGCAUAAUCAUUUGCCCAUUAAUUGUGGGCUAGAAUGAAAGGAUCAACGAAAUAUAAACUGUCUCUAUAAGCUCAAUAAAAAUUAAUAUCUAACUGAAGAAUGUUAGAUACUGUUGAAGGACAAGAAGACCCUAUAGAGCUUAAUUUUAAUAAAAACUUAAAUUUUACUAAAAUUCGGUUGGGGCGACCUGGGAAGUUAAUAAUCAUCCCAAAUACAAAGAUUUAUUAAUCAACUAUAUGACCCUUUUAAGAUCUAAAAAACAAGCUACCUUAGGGAUAACAGGCUAAUCUAGCUAAAGAGUCCUUAUCAAUAGCUAGGUUUGGCACCUCGAUGUUGGCUUAGGGGAUCAAUACGACGCAAAAGUCGUAAUAAGAUGGUUUGUUCAACCAAUAACACCCUACGUGAUCUGAGUUCAGACCGGA